CAUUGCAUCUAUGAGCAUCAUGCCACAAUUGCAUGUUUGAAUUCAAAUUUUGAAUCACAAAAGGCUUUAAGAGAUUUUGAUUACACCCCUGUAACCUUUGGAUUUUCAAACCAAUAAGGGUGAUGUAUAAAAAGGGUUUAAUGCAUAUAUAAGCUAUCCCAUAAUUUUUGGUUAAUUAUUUGGAGUUGAAAAAAGUAUUUUAUUCAAACAGACAUAUAGCCCUAAAGGCAUUUAUAGGGCAAAUGUAUUUUUAUAUAUUUUAUUUUCAGGGGAAUCUACUCCCAAAAGUUGUAUCAUGGUAGGACAUGAUUUUACAAAUUUUCUGGAAUUUAUUUGGACCAAUUUGGAGUUCAAACUCAAAAGAUAUCAAAGAAAUGGGAAAAGCAGAAAAAGAAAAGGGCUAAAAGGAAAAAAAAAUAGAAAACCGGACCGGCCCGGCCAAAAUGGGCCGAACCGGCCCAGUCCGACCGCGCCC
RNAcentral lists this long non-coding RNA (475 nucleotides) under Brachypodium distachyon (stiff brome). RNAcentral describes it as "long non-coding RNA (BDIS_LNC003857)". The record is from RNAcentral. Lineage: Eukaryota; Viridiplantae; Streptophyta; Magnoliopsida; Poales; Poaceae.